GUAGGUGAACCUGCGGAGGGAUCAUU
Molecule: non-coding RNA, 26 nt
Filed under: Drosophila yakuba
Lineage: Eukaryota; Metazoa; Arthropoda; Insecta; Diptera; Drosophilidae
Also listed under: 11 other names
Source: RNAcentral